Molecule: long non-coding RNA, 989 nt
Filed under: Parus major (Great Tit)
Lineage: Eukaryota; Metazoa; Chordata; Aves; Passeriformes; Paridae
Description: lncRNA (ENSPMJG00000004533.1)
Source: RNAcentral
CUCAUCCCCAUAAACAUUCCUCAGCUGAAACAGGAACUACAGGGCAGUGCUAGCCUAUGUAUUAUGAGACCGGAAUAUUUCUGCUUCCAUGUGCAGAUGGAGCACAGAUCACUAGUGUGCUGACAAGCUGAACUCCAAACAAAGAGAUAAGCUACAUAUGUACUGGCAGGAUUCACUGUCAGUGGGAGCACUGAAUGAAAAGCCUGUUCUCCAAAUCAGUCCCCCAUUUAUCUACUAAAUCUUUCCAUUUCAUCCAAUCUAAAGAACCAUCGAAACAUCAUGAAAAAUUAAGAAGAAAGCAAGCAUUUGGAAGUUGUAUUAAUUUAAUGUUGUCUCGGGGACUAGGCAGCCAGCUGAAGUUUCAAUCAGAAGAUCUCCAAGUGCUCAUGACUAAGCCUGCAAGCGCGUCUGCAGCGGAGCGCUGUGUACGGAAUUGGAACGGGAGCACUCGGCUGUUUGGUGUCACUUGAGACCUGGAUCUCAUCUGUGUGGGAACGAGGCGGUGGCUGUGGCAGAGAGACAGGCUGUGUGCUGGAAAACAAAGAGAGAAUUCUGGCUGGCUGGGCUGGUGUGAAGAAUCGCUGCCGUGGGGCUGAGCUGAAGGUGUGCGAGGAGAAGGAAACAGGAGCAGAGCGAGAAGCCAGCUGUGAACAGCUCCGCUCGCUUCUGCUACUGAGCGAGCUCUUCUAGAAAAUGUCAAAGAACAUCCUCAUCAUCUAAAGCCAUUUUUAAAAUGAUUGCUAAUAUGGCCCAAUUAUGUUUUCUUUCCCUGCACCCAUGUGUUUAAAUGUGAAAGAAAAUGGUGAGAGUGACUGCUAAAGAUGCUUGAUAGUGCAUAUUUGCUUGGAAGUAUAUUUUCAUAUCAAGCAAAUGUCAGUGCAAACACCUGCAAUCUGCAUUGCUUGUAACUGUAAGAAACAAAUGUAAGUUGGUUCACCACCACCACAACUCUGAAUAAAGCUCCUGCUGCUCUGUGGCUGGUACUAUGU